AUCAGCUCCGUUAAACUUGAUCUAGAAUAUUUGGAGUACCUAGAAAAUAAAUUUUAUUAUUUUUCGAUAUCAUUUGCUUAGUGAUCGAAUGGGCUCAAAAUCAACAAAUUUCUAUGGCCGUAGUGAGCCGUUUGCAAGUUUAACGGUGUAGAAAUAUCCAAAUCACGUGAAAUUUUGAUAGAAAAUUCUUUAUACUAUAUAAAACAAGAUCAAUAUCUUUGAUUUAAAAUUUUAAUGUCAUAUUAUUACAUUUUGUAAGAUUUUUAUUUUCAGCCGUUGAUUUUGAGCCCCUUCGUUCACUAGGCAAAUGAUAUCAUAAAAUCAUAAAAUUUAUUUUCUAGGUACUUCAAAUACUCUAGAUCAAGUUUAACGGAGCCGAUCGACGAUUCGAAAGUCGCAACAUCAAAAACGAGCUGGAAGCACGGAAGGCUCCGUGCUUCCGAUAGCAUAGUAGCCUUACUCUAUAUAUAUAUAUAUAUAUAGUAGAGCUAGAAUACUUGUAAAAAUAUCACCCAAGUGAUACUUGUGUGUUUUUAGCCCUUGGAUGGAGAGAUGUAAGGUUGAGAUUAUGAUGGUAGGUGGUGGUAGGUGGUGGUAGGUGGAAUAGUGUUUGAUCCAAGGACUAUUAGUAAUCAAAAAGUAGAUCCAAUGGCUAAAAACACACAAGUAUCACUUGGGUGAUACUUGUAAAAGUAUUCUAGCCCUACUCUCUCUCUCUCUCUCUCUCUCUCUCUCUCUCUCUAUAUAUAUAUAUAUAUAUAUAUAUAUAUAUAUAUAUAUAGUGGGCUGGUAUGCUUAUGAAAGCACGGAGGCCUCCAUGCUUCCAAGUUGUUUUCGCUGUUCGGACUUUCGAAUCGACGAUCGGCUCCGUUAGAGUUGAUCUAGAGUAUUUGAAGUACCUAGAAAAUAAAUUUUGUGAUUUUUCGAUAUCAUUUGCCUAGUAAUCAAAGUGGCUCAAAAUCAAUAAUUUUAAUGACCGUAGUGAGCCGGUUGCAAGUUUAACGGUGUAGAAAUAUCCAAAUCACGUGAAAUUUUGAUAGAAAAUUCUUUAUACUAUAUAAAAUAAGAUCAAUAUCUUUGAUCUAAAUUUUUCAUGUCAUAUCAUCACAUUUUGUGAGAUUUUUAUUUUUAGCCGUUGAUUUUGAGCCCCUUCGAUCACUAGGCAAAUGAUAUCGAAAAAUCGCAAAUUUUAUUUUCUAGGUACUUCAAAUACUCUAGAUCAAGUCUAACGGAGCCGAUCGUCAAUUCGAAAGUCCUAACAUCGAAAACAACUUGGAAGCACGGAGGCCUCCGUGCUUCCAUGAGCAUACUAGCCGCACUCUAUAUAUAUAUAUAUAUAUAUAUAUAUAUAUAUAUAUAUAUAUAUAUAGAGAGAGAGAGAGAGAGAGAGAGAGAGAGAGAGAAUUAUACUACUAUACUAUCAAUAGUACCAAGCCCUUGGAACUAUUGAGUUUUUGAUAGUUGGAUGAAAGGAUGUGCGGUUAGGAUGAUAGUGGUCCCCUCUAGGGUUGAAUGGGUGGUUGGUUUAAUAGUAUAAUCUAAUGGGUGGAAAUGAUCAAAAAGUAGAUCUAAUGGUAAAAAACUCAAUAGUACCAAGGCUUGGUACUAUCGAUAGUAUAGUAGCGAACCUAGGAGAUUACUAUCAUCCUAACCGCACAUCUUUUUAAUCCAAGAGUCGAAAAUCUAAUAACACCAAGCACUUGAUACUAUUAGUAGUAUAGUAGCCUAAUUCUAUAUUUAUGGUACAUCUGUGAUUUCAAAAGCAUGGAGGCUUCCAUACUUAUAAGUUAUUUUCGAUAAUAGGACAUCUGAUUCGAUGAUCGACUCCAUUAGGCAUGAUUUACACUAUUAGAAUUCUUUAGAAAUCAAAUUUCAUAAUUUUUUAGCAUCAUUUACCAAAUGAUCAAAAGGUCUCAAAAAGAACUAUUUUAAUGACCGAUGUGGCAUAUUUGUAAGUUCAACAAUAUAAAACAAUCCAAAUUACGUGAAACUUGAAUAAAAAAAUUUUACUUAACAUCAUGAGCAAGAUCAACGCUUCCAAUUUGGAAUUUGAGCCUUUUAUCACUAUUUUUUAUGAAAUUUUUAUUUUGACCAUUCAUUUUGAGGCUAUCCGUUUACUAGGCAAACGAAGUCAAAAAAUUAUGAAUUUGGUUUCUAGAUAAUUCCAAACUUUAUAAGUCAUGUUCAACUAAACUGAUUGCCGCUUUGAAUGUCCAUUAUUGAAAACAAUUUACAAAUAAGGAGGCCUCCAUACUUUUGACAGCACAAGAGCCUAGCUUUAUAUAUACUAGUGAAAAGACCCGCGCUUCACAGCAGGUAGAAACUAUAGGAGCUACCAAUAAAAAAUAAAAAGUAUUCAUCAAUAGAAAUAAAGAAGGUGUCGUGAAUGGGGCGAUUGGCGCGUCGGAAUGCUAACCCUCACCUCUAACCUCUAUUAAUGGUAGAGUCCUAUACUGCUGCAAUCGCAAAAGGCUGCGUCGCCGCCACUGCCACCGACAUUGCCAGGAACCUUAUUCUCAUUCUAGACUACGGAUUUCAGUACACCACCCAUUAUAUCCACCAACUCUUCUCCUCUCUCUUUCCCUGCAUCUUCGGAAACUCUCCCAUUUCCUUCAUCUCCAACAAAAAAAAAAAAAAUCACAAAAGAGAGAAAGAAGCGAUUAAACGAAGCAGACCUCGACGCAGUCAUUUACGACGGUGAUGUGGAGUGUAAAGAGGAGGUCGUGGAUAGUGGUGUGGCGAAGGAGAUCAGGAUCGACGUAGAGGGAGGAGCAGACGGCAUUGGCGCCCUUGACUCGGAUCGCGCUGAAGAAAGCAUUAGAUCAAUCAAUCACCACUCCACCUUUUGGUGAAUCUACAUUGAAAAAAGCAAGAUAAUAAAGAAAACGGCAAGGAAGAAAGUAGAAGAAAAACCACAACAUAUGGAGAAGAGAAACGGUCACAUAGAAAAGAGAAACGAUCGUGUGAGGAAGAACAUGAAUGUCCAACCACUAUGGGGAAGAAAAACGGUCGCAUAGGAAAGAGAAAUGGUCAUAUGGGGAAGAGAAACUGUCACAUGGGGAAGAGAAACGGUUAAAGGAAGAUAAAAGGCCGGGGAGAGCAAACUUGAAGAUGGAGCCCACUCCCAACCUUGAAGGUGGGUUUGCCUCGUGGAUUCUUUUUGGGGAUUAUAUAGAGUUAUAGAUAGUCCGGUGACUAUACUCUUAUGAAUAUGAUCAUCUUCAUACUCAUAAGUCAUUUUUCAAUAUUAGAAUUUCCGAAUCGACGAUCCAUACCGUAAAAAAUGAUGUAGAGAAUUUGAAACUUCUAAACAUAAAAUUUCAUAAUUUCGACAUCACUAACCUUACGAUAUAAAAAAUCUUAAAAUUGAUAACUUUUAACGGCCGGUACAGAAUGCUUGUUAGUUUAACAUUGUAAAAAAUCAAAAUUGGUUGAAAUUUUGAUAAAAAAUUCUAUUCACUAUUUAGAUAAAGAUCAAUAACUAUGAUCUUAGUUGAAGAAUCUGGUCAUCCAUUUAUAGGAUGUCGUUCAGUUUUGACCAUUCAUUUUAUGCCCACUUGAUGGAUUUCACUAUAAUUUCAAAAAAAUUACGAAAUUUAUUUUCUACAAGUUUCAAAUGCUCUAAAUCAUAUUUAAUGGUGUGGAUUGUCGAUUCUCUAUCAUUGAAAUAACUUAUGAGUACAAAGAGCUCUAUAUUCAUAGGAGUAUAAAGGCCCUACUUUAUAUAUAUAUAUAUAUAUAUAGAAUUAGGCUGGAAUACUAUUAAUAGUAAAACGCUCUUUUUGCUAUCAAGUUUUUAACCCUUGGAUGAAAAAUUGUAGGGUCAGGAUGAUAUUAGUCGGUUAGAGUUGAGUGGUCCCCAUAGGGUUGAGUGGUCCCCACUGGGUUAUAGUAUUUAAUCCAAUGGUUAGAGAUAAUGAAAAGAGUUGAUCCAAAGGCUAAAAAACUGGUAGCAACAAUGGGAUUUUGCUACUAAUAGUAGCCCAGUCCAACUCUCUCUCUAUAUAUAUAUAUAAUAGAGAGAGAGAGAAAGAGAGAGAGUCCGGCUACUAUACUCUUAUGAGUACGAUCGGCUUUGUACUCAUAAGUCGUUUUUGAUGAUAAGCUUUUAAAUCGAUGAUUUAUACCAUGAAACAUUAUCUAAAGAAUUUAAAGCUUCUAGAAAUCAAAUUUUAUAAUUUUUGACAUCAUUUACUAUACGAUCAAAAGAUCUCCAAAUUGACAAUUUUUAACGGUCGUUAUGGGAUUCUUGCUAGUUUAACAGUAUGGAAGGAGAGAAGGUGAUGCUAGAGACAGGGACGGAGAUAGCGCUUGAGCGAGGUGCGAAGUUGAACCUCCCGAGAAGGGUAAUAGGGCAGGAGUCGGCAGUGAAAUUCGCGACUUUUAUGUAAGCCAUAGAGGAGGAGGAGGAGGAGGAGAGGGACGUGGGUGCAAGGUUGUCUUCAUUGUGUUAAUGAAUGGUAACUUAGAAUGCAGAGAGAUAAGCUUAUGUACAUUUAUGAGAUAAUUGCCUAUAUAUCUCUCAAAACUUCAAAAAUAUCUUAUUUAUGGAUAUUUUUUUUUCUUUCCAAUAUACCCCUCAUAUGUUCCCCCGUUAUUCUAAAAUACCCCUGCAGUUACAACCCAUAAGUUAAUUUGGGUUAAACGUAAGUUUAAAUAUUUACUAGAAUUUAAAAAAAUCAAAAUACCUAUUUUACCCUUAAUUUAAGGGCAAAUAAGAAAUGUUAGUGAUGGUAGAAGGGUAUAUUUGAAAAGACCAAGAAUCAAAAUACUUUUUCUAUCUCUAACUUAAGGGUAAAUAAGAAAAGUCGGUGAUGAUGGAAGGGUAUAUAUAUGAAAGGGCAAAAUAGUAAUUUCAUAUAAAUAACAGUUGUUGCUAACAAUUCAUUAACAUAAUUUAACUCUAGGGGUAUCUUUGAAAUAGGUUGGAACGUGAAAAGGGUAUUUUCAAUAUUAGCCUUCUACGAUGGGUAAAUCAAAAAGUCGAAAACUUUUGAGGGGUAAAUAAGCAAUCGCCGCUAUAUUUAUAUAUACAGAGAGAGAUACAAUUCAUAAAGUAUAAAUUUUGCACUUAUCUAUCAUCAUAACAAAUCACUUUAUCCAAGAGCCGAAAACCUAAUAGAACCAAGCGCUUGGCCUUACAUGAUGACCUUUCCAAGAGAAGAUAUAUANNNNNNNNNNNNNNNNNNNNNNNNNNNNNNNNNNNNNNNNNNNNNNNNNNNNNNNNNNNNNNNNNNNNNNNNNNNNNNNNNNNNNNNNNNNNNNNNNNNNNNNNNNNNNNNNNNNNNNNNNNNNNNNNNNNNNNNNNNNNNNNNNNNNNNNNNNNNNNNNNNNNNNNNNNNNNNNNNNNNNNNNNNNNNNNNNNNNNNNNNNNNNNNNNNNNNNNNNNNNNNNNNNNNNNNNNNNNNNNNNNNNNNNNNNNNNNNNNNNNNNNNNNNNNNNNNNNNNNNNNNNNNNNNNNNNNNNNNNNNNNNNNNNNNNNNNNNNNNNNNNNNNNNNNNNNNNNNNNNNNNNNNNNNNNNNNNNNNNNNNNNNNNNNNNNNNNNNNNNNNNNNNNNNNNNNNNNNNNNNNNNNNNNNNNNNNNNNNNNNNNNNNNNNNNNNNNNNNNNNNNNNNNNNNNNNNNNNNNNNNNNNNNNNNNNNNNNNNNNNNNNNNNNNNNNNNNNNNNNNNNNNNNNNNNNNNNNNNNNNNNNNNNNNNNNNNNNNNNNNNNNNNNNNNNNNNNNNNNNNNNNNNNNNNNNNNNNNNNNNNNNNNNNNNNNNNNNNNNNNNNNNNNNNNNUCAUAUUUAUAAUAUUUUGCACUUAUCUAUUCAUAUAACAAAUCACUUUAUCCAAGAGCCGAAAACCUAAUAGAACAAGCGCUUGGCUUACAUGAUGACUUUCAAGAGAAGAUAUAUAUAAUAUAUAUAUAUAUAUAUAUAUAUAUAUAUAUAUAUAUAUAUAUAUAUAUAUAUAAUAUAUAUAUAUAUAUAUAUAUUAUUCUUUAUUUUCUUUUCUUUCGCCCUCUGUAUUUGUUUUCGCUAUCGUGCCCCAUCUCUCGCCCUCUGCUGCAGGAUUCCACCCUCGCCCGACACGCUCUCACUCCUCAUCCCUCCUUAAAUCUUGCCGUACCCUUGUCGUCGUUGCUGUCCAUGGCCACACUGUUACGCCUGCAAGUAUAAUUAGGAGGUUAGGAGUAGAUUAAUGGAGGUUAGGAGAGUAGUAAGCAAUAAAGCAGGAAGAUGAAGGCUUAGCUUUAUCUCUGAUCAUGCGGGGUUGAGAAGCUUCGACCUAUAAAAGUUGGCGCGGAGCGCUUAGAAGUGGCAAGCGCGGAAAGGGAAAAAGAGAGCGAUUAGGGCGAGGAAGAAGAAGGGCGAACUGGCAGGAUUUCGAGGGCGAAUGUGCGAACCGACAAGGCACCCUAUUAGUUCGGGUGUUUGGGGCGGUUGGGCAAAUGUCGGCCCAGUAUGCUACCAAGUGAAGAUCCAGAUCUACACAGCCCAAACCACAAGCUGUGGGCCACUGAUGAAGGAUUGGAAGCCCGUUUAGGAAUUAGGGUUUAUUUUAUUCAAAUUCGUAUUAUAUAUAGGAGGCAGUGUGUAACUCCUAGGGUUUUUUAAUGGAUGAUUAAUGAAAAUUCUCCGUCUUCUUAACUUCUCUCUUAUUCUCUCUUAUUCUCUCUAUUCCCCCUGAUCCUUUUCCUCAAUCUAUCUUUUCUCUUCUUUUCCUUCUUCUUCUUAUUCAAUUAUUAUCUACACAUUAUUCCGAUCUGUAUCGCGAAGACAGCAAACCGAAACCAUCAUCCUCGACGCCGUCCAUCGUCUCAGCGAGAUCUCAUCAUCGACGGGUUGCGCCGAGUCAGGUACGUAACAAUUGGUAUCAGAGCGGUCCGAUCCCAGGGCAUUGAGUGGUAGAAUCGCUUCCUAACUCCAAUCUCGGCAUUGUUGAGUUUAAUCGCGAGUAAGAUUUCUGCGCUGCCGAGUCUAAACCGAGAUCAGAGUCGGACAAAAGAAAUCACCACAAAAUAACCCUGAAAUUAACCGCAUGAUCAGAGGACAUUCCCUCAAUCAUCAGAUCGACAUUAUCACACAAGCACAAUAAACUAUCCGAGGAUAUAUCAGUCGAGGAAAGUCACAAGAAAUUUAUCCAUCCAGUCUGAAGGACCAUCUUAAUUGAGGCUUACCGACACGCCAAAAUUGGGGGAAGGCGAGGCAACAAAUUUAAAUUUAAUCCCAAAGAGUAUCUGGAAGAAUUAGAUAUGGCGGAAGGGACUCGACUAAGAGAUAUUAGUGAUCAUAUCCAUUCUUUAGAAGAAAAAUUUCAGAAGUUAGAGGCCGAACAUCAAUCCAGAUUAGGGAUACUUACCGAGCAGAUGGCGGAGGUACGAGAUUCGGGGCAAAAACAGUACGAUGCAAUGCGGGCUGAAGCUACCAAGCGUCAUGAGGAGCUGCUGAAACUGUUGACAGCCCAGCCACCUAUCACUCAGACUCAAGGCAGAGCAAUUACUCCUGAGAACAAAAUUCCUUAUGGCGGCAAACCAGGGAGUAGCAGCACCCCACAUGUUAUCAGGGAAGAAAAGGGAAAAGGGAUAUUACCCACCCCUAGAAAGCAACUCGACGUAGAGGAUGAUCAGAUUUCACCGUGGACUAACAGGAGUUUUAAUAAUCACCAACAUUUUCCAUAUCCUCGAUUGGAUUUUCCCUCAUUUGACGGCGACGACCCUAGAAAUUGGAUCGAGAAUUGUGAGCAAUUCUUUGAGUUGUAUCAAAUACCCCAACAGCAAUGGUUGAGCAUAGCCACUAUGCAUUUAUUCGGCAGGGCGAAAACGUGGAAACAAGGAUACUUCAUUAACAAACAAGUGGUUUCUUGGGAUGAAUUCACUGAGGCAGUGUGCAAAAGAUUCGCCCACGUAGGGGAGCGGUAUUUAAUUCGAGAAUUUCGCAAUUUGAAACACACCGGAACAUGCGAAAAAUAUCAAGAGAAGUUUGAGGAGUUAAGAUUUCAAUUACUCUAUUACAACCCCCACUUGUCGGAAGAGUACUUUAUCGCGUGUUACAUUAAUGGGCUCAAGGAAGAAUUUUCCAUUUCUCGACAUCGCUCAUCCAAACACAUUAGAGGAGACAUAUGAACAAGCACAGCUACACGAAAAGGCUCUAGCAGUGAUUAACAGAAAGAAUCGAUUUAUUUCUAAGACACCGAUGGAGACCAAUCAACGAGACACAUCAGAUAAGGGCACUGAAGGAACCGGGCAACAGUACCAGAACCAGAACAGAACUACAACUGGUCAAUAUACUGCUAACAAACAGUUAAUGGAACAUCGUCGAGCUGCUAGAUUAUGCUUUCGAUGUGGAGAAAAGUACCAUCCUGGGCACGUUUGUGCAAACAAGUCAUUGUAUACAUUACAAGCUACUGAGGAUAUUAUGGAAGUUUAUGAUGAAAGUUGUUUACAAGCAGGAUCAAACGACGUGACAGUCACGGGAAAGGAAGGAGAGGAGCCAGAAGUUGUACCUGAAGAAAAGAAUCCGCAAGAAAUAGGAGUGUCGGUUCAUGCAGUAAGUGGAGGGAAACCCCAGGACACCAUCAAAAUACAAAGUGAGACAAACAAUCGACUUCUCACCAUUUUGAUAGAUAUGGGAAGCACGCACUGUUUCAUCGACCUGCAAGUAGCCAGAGAGAUUGGCGCACGAAUAGAAGUCGCUUCUCCCUGGGUAGUGACAGUAGCGAAUGGCCAUAAGGUUUUGAGUAAACUAACAUGCCCUGGUUUCACUUGGAUCAUGCAAGGACAUACAUUCCAAGCAGAUUUGAUGGUGAUCAGAUUGGAAGGCUCAAGUAUUAUAUUAGGAAUUGAUUGAUUAAAAUCUUAUGGACCAGUAACCUUUGAUUUCCUAGCGAAUUCAGUUGCUAUCACCAAAGAAGGUCAGAGUUUAGAACUGAAAGGGAUCGAGGAAAGAGCUAAAUUAAGGUUGAUAUCUGCAGCCCAAUGGAGACAGGACAUAGAGAAGGGUGAAUGCUAUCUCCUCAGACAUCAACCUUUAACAGAAGAAGAUAAACAAGAAGUAGAGGUACACCCAGAGAUUCAAGAGGUGCUGGAUAAAUUUCAGAAUGUGUUCGAAGGGCCCAAAGAGUUGCCCACACCCCGAAUUUUGGAAUCGAAAACAGUGAAGCGUGAGAACAGGGCUGUGACUGAGGUGCUGGUUAAGUGGACAAACCCUCCAAUGGAGAGCGCAACGUGGGAAGAUUACUGGCUUCUUAAGAGUCAGUUUCCAUCUUUUGAUCCUUGAGGACAAGGAUCGCAUUAAGAAGGGGGGAUUGUUACGCCUGCCAAGUAUAAUUAGGAGGAUUAGGAGCAGAUUAAUGGAGGUUAGGAGAGUAGUAAGCAAUAAAGCAGGAAGAUGAAGGCUUAGCUUUAUCUCUACAUCAUGCCGGGGGUUGAGAAGCUUCGACCUUCAAAAGUGGCGCUGGGAGUCGGCUCAGAAGUGAAGGGCGGAAAGGGAAAAAGAGAGCGAUUAGGGCGAGGAAGAAGAAGGGCGAACUGGCAGGAUUUCGAGGGCGAAUGUGCGAACCGACAAGGCACCCUAUUAGUUCGGGUGUUUGGGGCGGUUGGGCAAAUGUCGGCCCAGUAUGCUACCAAGUGAAGAUCCAGAUCUACACAGCCCAAACCACAAGCUGUGGGCCACUGAUGAAGGAUUGGAAGCCCGUUUAGGAAUUAGGGUUUAUUUUAUUCAAAUUCGUAUUAUAUAUAGGAGGCAGUGUGUAACUCCUAGGGUUUUUUAAUGGAUGAUUAAUGAAAAUUCUCCGUCUUCUUAACUUCUCUCUUAUUCUCUCUUAUUCUCUCUAUUCCCCCUGAUCCUUUUCCUCAAUCUAUCUUUUCUCUUCUUUUCCUUCUUCUUCUUAUUCAAUUAUUAUCUACACAUUAUUCCGAUCUGUAUCGCGAAGACAGCAAACCGAAACCAUCAUCCUCGACGCCGUCCAUCGUCUCAGCGAGAUCUCAUCAUCGACGGGUUGCGCCGAGUCAGGUACGUAACACACACCUUGCAUUGUAGCCUCACCUUUGUGAUCUGUACUAUAUCCGAGCUAGCAUUGUCGAUCGCUACUAGGGUCAGCGCAGGUAUGGGCAAGGUAGGAGAGGAGAGUGGCGUCGAUGUGGAGGGAAUGGAUGAGGAGGAGAGAGAGAGAAAGCGGAAGGAGAGAGAGAAGAAGGGAUCACGAGAACAAAGGAGCUAGAGGAGGAUGAAGGAGAAAAACGAACUAUAAAGAAAGCAGAGAGAGAGGAAUAAGAAAAUUUUGAUCAAUUUAAUAAAAAUCUAGGCCUACUUUGCACAAUCUAAAAAGUGGCCAAUAUUUCUAAUUUUUUAUGUAAAUUAGUCCAAAAAGUUUUAGAGCAUUUUAGAAAAUAGAUUAAUUUAACCCGUUAUUUUGUACUAGAAGAUUGCCAAAUGGCUGCAGUCCUUUUAAAAAAUGGUGAGCACCAUGGAUCACGUCUAGGCGCUGGUUGGGCCAGGACCAACCUGACUUCUGUUUAAGGAAAGUUUUUUUUUUAAAAAAAAAUACGUCAACUUUUCUAACUUUGACGAGAUUAGUUUACUCAUCCAAUUCUUUAUUUUUUUUAAAGUAAACUUAUAAUUUAUCCAAUGUGGUUUAACUUAUUUCCUUGCAUGUAUAGUUUAAAAAAUUGCAACUUAACUAUUUUGUGAUUAUGGUUAUAUUUAAUCUAAAAAAAUUAUUAUCAAACAGGAUUCCAAAGUAAGAUUUUUGAUAAUCACAUGAUAGUUAAAUGUAACCUUUUAAACUAUAGUACGAUAAAGUGAAAAAUAAAAAUGAGUUAAACUAAAUGAGAGCAAUUUGAAGGUUACCCGAAAAAAUUAUAUAAAUUUUAGAUUUUUUUUAAUUAACUACCCAGUCUCGAUGUUUGUUACUUGUGUAAUAAAUUGCAGUUCGCACAGCCGUUUAAUCCUUAAAAGUUAAUAGUUAAACUUUUGCGUAUAUGAAUUAAGAAUAUUUGAUCUUUAUAAAAUUACCAAUUCUUAAAUAAAAAAAAUAUUAGAAUUUGGAUUCAAGUAUUUAAUUGAAAUGAACUAAAAAUUCUUAUAAUUAUUGUCAAUUUCUAAAAUUUGAAUGAGAAAUGAUUGUAGGACCUCAUUUUUUGAGUAUCCUAUUGUGUUGUUAAAAACUUGAUAUAUAUAUAUAUAUAUAUAUAGAGUUGAGCUAGAAUACUCUCGAGAGUAAACGAGCCCGUUUACUCUCGAGUUGUUUUCGAUGAUAGAGCUUCCAAAUUGACGAUCGGCUCCGUUAAAUAUGAUCUAAACCAUUUAAACUACCUAGAAAUCAAAUUUCACACACUUUCGAUAUUGUUUUAUAUCCAUCUAGGUGAAGAAAAAAUGAAUGGCUGAAAUAAAAUAUUCUUUUAAAAAAUGAUGAUAGGAGUCUUGUAAUCAAGAUCAAGAGUAUAGAUCUUGUUUUAAAUAGUCUAAAGAAUUUUCUAACAAAAAUUCAAUUGAUUUAGAUAUCUUUACACCGUUAAACGAGAAAACGUCUCUUAUCCACUAUUAAAAUUACAAAUUUUGAAACCCUUUGAUCAUUAGGCAAAUGAUGUCGAAAAGAUUUGAAAUUUAAUUUCUAAACACUUCAAGUGUAUAAAUCAUGUUCAACGGAGCGAUCGUUAAUUUGGAAGCUCUAUCAUCGAAACAACUCGAGAGUAAACGGCUCGUUUACUCUCGAGAGUAUUCUAGCUCAACUCUAUCUAUAUUAUAUAUAGAUAGAUAGAGUUGAGCUAGAAUACUCUCAAAAGCACCAUGAAGGUGGUGCUUUUAAGUUUUUGCCAUUAGAUGAAGAGAUGUGAGGUUGAGAUGAUGGUGGUAGGUGAAAUAGUGUUGUAUCCAAGGACUAUUAGUAAUCAAGAGUAGAUCAAGGGCUAGAAACUUAGAAGCACCAAAAGAAUAUUCUAAAAGUAUUCUAGCCAAUUAUAUUAUAUAUAUAUAUGCCGGCUACAUACUAUUAUGAGUACGAUCGCCCUCGUACUCACAAGUUGUUUUCGAUGAUAGAGCUUCCGAAUCGACGAUCCACACCGUUAAAAGUUAUUACAAGUUUAAACUUCUAAAAAUCAAAUUUUAUAUUUUUUGACAUCAUUUACCUUACGAUCAAUAGAUCACAAAUUUGACAAUUUUUAACGGCCGGUAUGGGAUACUUACUAGUUUAACGGUGUAAAAGAAUCGGAAUUUGUUGAAUUUUUGAUAGAAAAUUCUAUUCACUACAUAGAUAAAGAUCAAUAACUCAGAUCUUGAAUUGAAGGAUCCGAUCAUUCUUUUUUAGGACGUCGUUCGAUUUUGACCGUUCAUUUUAUGCCCACUUGAUGGACUUUAUUAUGAUUUCGAAAAUUUACGAAAUUUAUUUUCUAGAAGUUUCAAAUACUCUAAAUCAUAUUUAACGAAGUGGAUCGUCGAUUUGGAAGUUCCAUCAUUGAAAACAACUUAUGAGUACGAGGGCUGCAAUACUCAUAAUAGUAUAGUAGCCAUGGCCUUUAUAUAUAUAUAUAUAUAUAUAUAUAUAUAUAUAUAUAUAUAUAUAUAUAUACUAGUGUAAAUACCCGCACAUUGCUGCGGAUAGAUACUAUUAAAAUAAAAAUUUACAAAUAAAAAAAUUAUCAAUAUAGCUAAAUAAAAUAUUAGUAGACCAACAAUAAAUAUCAAGAAUUAUAAACUUUUAGUAGAUAGAUACUACUGAGGUGAGGUGGUGACAUUUGCGACCAAAUAAAGACGGCUAUAUAGUCAAUAUAUAGCAAGCAACCCAAUAGGAAUAUGUAAGAUAAUUAGUUAACAAAUCUUACUCUUGAGUACACAAAAAUAUAAUAAUAUAUAUACAAUCAUUCACAAAUCACAAUAGAUUAUCUAUCUAUCUACUGGAGAAUUUUCUUUGUCAACGCGUGAGUAGAUAUUGAGGUAAUCAAACCACAGAUUCCACUGUACUUUGACUUUUUUAACCUUCGUAAAUAAGAUUUUUCACUUAGAUGUCCGGUUUUAGUGUGCAACCUCAAUUUGGAAAUAACUUUCGAGAUUUACGCAUUGAACAACAAAGCAGUUCCGCCUAAGUUUGGGACCCAAAUUCAAUUUUUUAGGUCUUUUUUUUCUAUGCCUUCUUCAUGAAGUUGUUAAAACUCAUAUCUGAGUCCAAUCGAUGCACUAUAAAGUUCAGUAUAAUCAGCGGCAACAGCAUCAACAGUAUUGUUAAAUUUAACAUAUUUUUAUUGAAAUUAGUUAUUCUGAAUAUUUGUAUGGUUGAUGGAACGAUGCAUUCUAUCAACUGUGAAUUGUUGGUAGCUAAUUAACUAUUGAUUUCAGUGAAUCUUCAAAUCAAUUUAGAAAUUUAUAGGUGUCAAUGAGAAAAUAAAGAUUGGGUGCCAAUUACAAAAUGGCCAGUAAUUGAAGGCAACAGCAUUAGCAAAAAAGUAGUGGCAUCAGCAGCAUUAGCAUUUGCAACAUCACCAUCAGCAGCAGAAUCAACAGCAGCAGCUUAGGGAGAAGAAACAGCAGUAGUUACAUAACAAUGAUUAGCAGCAGAAAAAUGCCGAGAAGAAUUAAAAGAAAAAGGAAGAGAGCCAGAGCAAGUAACAGUAGUAGUAGCAGUAGCGGCAUUACCGUCAUUAGGAACACGAUCGAUAGUAGCAGCAGAAAAAGACAAAGAAAGCGUGAGAUGUAGACUACUUAAUAUUGACUUUAAUUGGUUAAUUUAGAAGAUUAUUACCACAAACAAACUACACUCCCAAUUAAAGAGAAUCAUUGAUAUUUACAAUCCCAUUAAAAGAAAAUCAUUGAUAUUCAUUGAUAGGUCCUAAAGUACAUCUAUUGAUCAACCAUGAUAAUAAUAAUAAAUACAAACUUAUAAAAUAUUUAAGUAUAGAAGAAGGCCUUGACUAACAAAUAUAACAAAUGAGUCCCCUUGGAAUUAGGGCAAAAUCUAACAGCAACACUUUCAUGUUGAAGUGUAUUUAAGGUUUUUUUUUACCUUAAUUUUUGCAAUAUAGUUCUGAAUGGCACAUAUAAACCUUGGAUAGCUUCAAAAUUUGUCUUUGAUGCAGUCGGACCAAAAUUAAUACCUAAAAAGCAUCGGCAAAAAAUUGAUAAAUUGGUUUCUUUUCUUUGUUUCAGGAUGGGCAAAAUGUGGGAAAUGAUGUACUUACUGAAAAACACAAUAAUUUAAGGCAUAUUAGUGAAAUUUAAUUACCAAUUAGUCUAGAAAUAAGAAAUAGUUACAUGAAGCCUUACAGGUUAAGCAUAAAGGUAAAAAGGAACAAAAAAUAGAAUGAUUGCAACACGGAAAAGCCAUACGAUUCCUGAGGAGAAGACAAAAACACUGUUAUAAGAAAAAGAAAUUCAAUAUAUUAGGCAAGAUUUCAUAGAUGCAUUAUAUAGGCAAAAGCAUAGCAGCGAGGAUGAGGGAUGUAACCGCAAGUAGGGCAUACGAAUCGGCGUGGAGGGUAGAGGAAUUGAUCAAAAACGGUUUGAGCAUCCAUCAUAUGUAACGGAUUAGGGAAGAGGGGAGAGGCCAUACGAAACGGAGAGAGGAGAGGGAACGACGCAGGAAGAGAGGAAAGAAAAUGCUCCAACAGAGAGAGGAGGUGGACUCGGCGGAGAGGAGAGAGAAAAUGGCGAAACGCUCCCUUUCGUGCGAAAAAACAGAGAGGAGAAAGGGGCGGUUCAGUUCAUUGGUUCAGAGAAGAGUCAUGUGGGUUCGGUUCGGUUCAUUUGAUUGAUGAGGGGAAGACAGGCGCUUCAGGUCGGUUUGGUUCGUUGGUAUGGUUUGGUUUAGAAAAACUGAAGAGGAAGAAGGGCGGUUUAAUUUCUUGGUUCAAAGAAGGGUUUUGAGGGGAGACAUGCCGUUCGAUUCGGUUUGAGAGAAAAGGGACGGUUCGGUUUCAGAGAGGGAACGAUGAGGAUGAAUUCGCUUUGAUUUUAUUUAGAGGUUUAGGGAUGUAAUGAGUGGUCCGGUUUAGAGAAUAAGCAAGUAAGAGAAAGAAGGAGCGGUUCGGUUCAGAAAGAUAGCUCGGUUCAAAAGUAGUAGUUCAGUUCAAUAGAGAGGCUGGUAAGGUUGAGUGGUUCAAUAGAGAGAAAAGUGGUUUAUUUUAAAGUGGAGUUAUGAGGAUGAAGGAUAAGAUGCCAUGUGGCAAAAAAUAUUGUGGCUUCAUAUAUGUUUAUAGAUAUAUAUAUAUAUAUGGCAGGGCUGCUGUGCUCUCAGGAGCACGGAGGCCUCCGUGCUCCUGAGCCAUUUUCGAUGAUGGAAUUUUCGAAUCGACGAUCGGCUCUGUUAGACUUGAUCUAGCGCAUUUGAAGUUUCUAGAAAAUAAUUUUUGCGAUUUUUCGAUAUCAUUUACCUAGUGAUCGAAAGGAUUCAAAAUCCAUAAUUUUUAAUGGUUGAUAUCUGCCGUUUUCAAGUUUAACGGUGUAGAAGUAUUCAAAUCAGAUGAAAUUUUGAUACAAAAUUCUUUAUACUAUCUACAACAAGCUCAAUAUUUCUAAUCAAAAAUUUCAGUGCUAUAUCACCACUUUUUAUAGGAUUUUUAUUUUUUAGCCGUUAAAAAUUAUUGAUUUUGAAUCCUUUCGAUUGCUAGGUAAAUGAUAUCGAAAAAUCGCAAAAAUUAUUUUCUAGAAACUUCAAAUACGUUAGAUCAAGUUUAACGGAGCCGAUCGUCGAUUCGGAAACUCCAUCAUCGAAAACGGCUCAGGAGCACGGAGGCCUCCGUGCUCCUGAGAGCACAGCAGCCCUGCUCAUAUAUAUAUAUAUAUAUAUAGAGUUGUGCUUCUAUACUAUCAAUAGUAUAGAAGCACAACUACUAUAGUGUUUUAAACCCUUGAUCCUUUCUCAAGAUUCGUGCACACAGGUGGGUGAAUUAAGUGGGAUGGCAACAUUUAACACCGUUAAAGGAGGAGAGAGAAACCCACUUAAAAACCUUACUCUCCCACUCUCUCUCUCUAUCUCUCUCUCUCUCAGGUUCCCCCCCAACCCAACCCAUCUCUCUCUCUCUUUCUUUCCCAUUUCUCCCAUUUCUCCCACAGGGCCUCAUCUCUGGCUCUUCUGAACUCACCCCGCUCCUUCCCCUCGCACCCAUCUGCCGGCUCACAACCCUAGCCGAGCGACACUGCCACCCGUCGGCGCCGCUCGUGGACGCUCCAACCCUAGCCACGCGACACUAUUCCGCGAAGCCCUCCAAACCCACCUGCGGACAUUGUCUGGACGCCGCUUCAACGUUGCUCCCUGACACCCUCCAAACCCGGGGACACCUCAUGGACCACAACAACAACAAUGACCAGGUUAUUUUAAUCCCUAGUUAGUUAAAAUAUUUUUUUCUUUAUAUUAAAUGGUUGAUAGAAAAUUAUUUAUUUCUUAAGUUAUAGAUUCAUAGUUGUUGAAUUAAUUACAAGUAUUUGUUUUUUUUCUUUAUGAUUUUUAUUGCAAGUAAUAAAUAGAAAAUUUGUUACAUUUUUUUUUGGGGGAUAAAAAUUUAUUAUCUAUACAUUUUCUCUUUAUGAUACUUGUUUAUGGCAGUAAAUAAAAAAAUUUUAAGAAUCAUAUGAGAUGGAUGAUGCUUAAUUUUAUAUUCCCUGUUUAUGAUUUUAAUGUUAUAGAUGGAUGAUGCUUUUCAAUCUGAAAAUAUUAGAAGAAACGGUGAGAAUAUGAAUUUAGAUGGUUUAUCUAUAUGUGGCCAAAGCAAUGCUCCAGAAAAUAUUAGUGAGAAUAUGAAUUCAGAUGAUUUUGAUGCCGAUUUAGAUAACCAUGAUGAACCAAACAGUUUGAUGCACGAUAGGGAUGCAAUGGAAGUUGUAAGUGAUGACCCCUAUAUUGGUAAAGAGUUUAACAGUGCUGAGGCAGCACGGACUUUUUAUAACUCAUAUGCAUUUCGACUCGGAUUUAGCAUAAGAAAGGCUAGUCAAUAUAAGGCAAGGAAACAAGAUGGAAUGAUGACAAGUAUGCUCUUGACUUGUUCAAAAGAGGGUCAAUCUAACGUCCGAGACUAUGACAAGCGUAGUAGUACAACUACACAAGGCCAAGUCACACCAACAAAAGAAUUUGCACACAAACGAUCAGGAUGUAAAGCCCUUAUGAGAGUAAAGAUGAUAAAAGGAGGUAAAUGGGUGGUUACAAGAUUUACAGAAGAGCAUAAUCAUGACUUAAUUGCAAGCCCAACAAAAACACGUUUUUUGCGUUCUCAUCGCUCUAUCUCCAAUGAGCAAAAACAAGUAAUACAACUGUUAAGAGAUCAAAAUAUUUCAACAAGUCAAAUUAUGUCUUACAUAGCAGCAAGAGAUGGGAGCUCACAAAAUAUCAAUUUUACUAUGAAAGAUUUAAGCAAUGAGAUUGUGUCAACAAAUAGGGGACUUGUUGGAGUUGAUGUUGCAAAUGCUCUCAAUUAUCUUCACGCAACUCAUGCCUCGGAUCCUUCAUUUUUUUACUCAAUUGAGGUUGACGAUAAUCAUAUGACAAAAAACAUAUUUUGGAUAGAUGGGAGAUCGAGAUUGGCAUACCAACUUUUUAAUGAUGUUGUGACAUUUGAUACAACUUAUAUGACAAACAAGUAUACAAUGCCAUUUGCUCCAUUUGUUGGUGUUAAUCAUCAUAGACAAUCAAUCUUUCUUGGAUGUGCCCUCUUAAGGGAUGAAACUGCCGAUACUUUUUGUUGGUUGUUUCAUACAUGGUUACAGGCAAUGUCGGGAGUGCAUCCAAAAGCAAUUAUUACAGACCAAGAUCCGGCAAUGAGAAAAGCAAUUGGACAAGUUUUUCCCACUCCUGUGCAUAGAUGUUGUCAAUGGCACGUAAUGAGAAAGGCAAGAGAACAUUUGGGAGUAUUAUAUAACAAAAUGGAAGGUUUCAAGAAUGAGCUAAAAUCAUGUAUUAAUUAUAGCUUGACAAUAGAAGAAUUUGAAACUAGAUGGAAUGAGAUGCUCGAUAAAUAUGACUUGAAUAGUAACAACCACCUUCAAUUAUUAUGGAAUACUCGGCAUCAAUGGGCUCCUGUAUUUUUUAGGGACACUUUUUUCGCCGAUAUGUCUACUUCACAACGGAGUGAGAAUGCAAAUGCUAUGUUGAAAAUGUUGGUGGAUUCGCAUACAUCAAUCUAUAGAUUUGUACAACAAUUUGACAAAAUAAUUCGAAGUCGAUACGAGAAAGAAGAAGAGGAGGAAUUCAAAACAACGGAUGGAGAGUCAUCUUUAUGGUCAUUAAAUCCCAUAGAGAAACAAGCACGCGAGAUCUAUACUAAAGUCAUAUUUUCAGAUUUUAAAAAGCACUUGAGAGAUGCUACAGGUUUUGGAGUUGUUGAAUUGGAGCAAUACAAGUUGUACCAAACAACCCUUUUGGAAAAUAUUUAUACAUUAAAACAAGGAUCAUGCUCAUAUAAAGUUGCAUCGAAGUAGAAACUGAAAAAAUUGUUGCAAUUGAAACAAAUUUGAAUUCACUGGUAUCUUAUGCCCCCACGCACUACGUGUGAUGCAACAUGUACGAAUGAACUUUAUUCCUACAAGUACAUUUUAAAGAGGUGGACCAAAAAUGCAAAAAAAAGGAAUGGAAGAUGGCAAAAUUAAAACUUUUACUAGUCAUUGUGGAUCUUCGAAUGGUACUGCACAUUGUAUGACUCGCUGAAUUUAAAGUCACAGUUUGUUAUGAAGGAUCAAGAAAUUGGAGGCAUAGGAGUUGGCUUGCCAUAAGAUUGAUGCAGCUAUUGAGGAGUUGAAGUCACUUAAUCAACCAAUGGGGGAAUAGGAAAGAAACUACGAAAGAAAAACAAGGUGAUUACCACGACGUUAUUUUAUCACAAGUCUACUCAUUAAGGACAACUAUGGAGGAAUGCAUUGUUAAAGAUCCACCUCAAUCUAAUUGCAAAGGUAAAAGAAAGCCUCAAAGAUAUAAGCCACCAGCUGAGAUGAAAGCCAAAAGUCUAGACUUGUGCAAAUUGCAAAAAAAAAGGACAUAAUAUUAGAACUUGUAAAGAGGUAAGCUAAAUUUUUUAACUCAUUUUUUACAUAUAUUAUUUAGUAGCUAAUUUCAAUAAUUUUGUUUUGAAACUAAUAUAAUUUUUUUAUGGUUCUAUAAUACAGGGGCUUACUGUUGCAGAUUGUCUAGAUGGUGAAUCAGUGAAGUCAUCCAGGACAAUAGUAGAGAUGCAUCAGAGGACUAAAAUUGAGACAAAUGUUCAAUGUGAAAUUAGUUGAUGUACUACAUGUUGUGUGGAAAUUAAAUUGUAAUUUUUCUUCAGUGGAUAUUUUGAUUUCUAAAUUCGGAUUCUAUUAGAGUGUAAUCUUGUCUUCUACUAGAUAUCUUUAUUUCCAAAUCAAUUGUAAUGUAGAAUGUUGAAUGUGGAUGAUUAAAUUACAGUGGUCACUCUUAAUUUGGAUUCCAUGUUAUUGACUCUUUAGAUUCCCCUCAUUCUUUGAAUUCUUUGAACAAUAUUUUAUGCAACUGUAGCACUGGGGCUUUCAUUACUAUGCAUCUAAUAGAGGAUCCGCGGUCGGGGAGAUGUUACACGGAUUUGGGGGAGCAAUAUCUUUACGCAACUAUACGAAUAAAUAAAAACACCAUAUAGAUUAUGUCAUAUAAAUUUAUUUAUAAAAUCAGAUUACAUCCAAAAUAACUCCAUCAGAUUAAAGGUAUUUAAAAUGAUUAAGUAUUACACAAUGCAUAAAACAAACUAGAAGAACUUAAAUAUUACACAGAGAAAAUUACAAUAAUUAUGAUAAUGAACAAUUUCUCUCUGCCUCUGUGACCCUUGUGGAGAGCUCAUCAAUUCGCGCCGUUAGAAUACCAAUUUGUUUAGCUGUUUCAUUCGAAUUUGAUAUAUAUGUUCAAACAGCCAUUCAUCUGAAUAUUUUGCCGGCGAUGCAGAACGUUGAAAAAACAUACUCCUUUCCACUUUUGAAGAGUUAGCGCUAUCUUCUUCAGAUAUAUCUUUGUCUCUCCUUAUAAUUUUAACAUCGCACCAUUGAAAAAAAUCGCAGUAAUUUUCAUUUUCUUUCUUAUAAUUAGGACACCCAUAAAAUGAUCUUCCACUACAAUUUGGUUGAGAGGAAACUCGUAAAACAGCGACUUCAUUGCAGUUGCAGCGAACAAUCCGCUUGUUGAUUGCGCUUCUCAUAUAAAAUGAUAAUAAUUACCUACAUGAAAAAUAAAUUUAGUUAGAAUAAAUUUAUUUUUAAGGAAGCAUACAAAUAUUGAUAAAUUUUUCUUUAAAAAUCAGAACAAAAUUAAAAAUUUUAGCACAAAUCUUGUACUUUUUUUUUACAUAAUUUUUUAAAAUAAAAUUAUAAAAAUAUUAGAAAAAAUAAAAGAAAAUAAUCAUUUUCUAUAAUUGUAAAAAAUUGCAUAUGCUUUUCAUUUUAUUUUUUAAAUAAUUUAAAAAAAUUUAAAAAAAUUCAGCUAAAAAUAGAAAUAAAUAUGUGGGAACACAAUAUUUGACCAAGUUUUGUCGAGGAGUGGUGUCGUUUGGAGGGCUUCGCGGAAUAGUGUCACGCGGCUAGGGUUGGAGCGUCCACGAGCGGCGCCGACGGGUGGCAGUGUCGCUCGGCUAGGGUUGUGAGCCGGCAGAUGGGUGCGAGGGGAAGGAGCGGGGUGAGUUCAGGAGAGCCAGAGAUGAGGCCCUGUGGGAGAAAUGGGAGAAAUGGGAAAGAAAGAGAGAGAGAGAGAUGGGUUGGGUUGGGGGGGAACCUGAGAGAGAGAGAGAGAGAUAGAGAGAGAGAGAGAGAGAGAGAGAGAGAGAGUCAGGUUUUUAAGUGGGUUUCUCUCUCCUCCUUUAACGGUGUUAAAUAUUGCCAUCCCACUUAAUUCACCCACCUGUGUGAACGAAUCUUGAAAAAGGAUCAAGGGUUUAAAACACUAUAGUAGUUGUGCUUCUAUACUAUUGAUAGUAUAGAAGCACAACUCUAUAUAUAUAUAUAUAUAUAUAUAUAUAUAUAUAAAGAAUUGAGCUCCUAUGCUUUUAAAAGUACCAAGUCAUUAGUGCUUGUAAGUUUUCGGCCCUUGGAUUAAAGGAUGUGCGGUUAGGAUGAUGUGGGCCCGCUAGGGUUGAGUGGGUGGUUGGUUUAAUAGUAUAAUCUAACGGGUAAAAAUGAUCAAAGGUAGAGAUCUAACGGUAAAAAAUUUACAAGCACCAAGUGCUUGAUACUUUUAAAAGCACCAUAGCCGGACUAUAUAUAUAUAUAUAUAUAUAUAUAUAUAUAUAUAGAGAGAGAGAGAGAGAGAGAGAGAGAGAGAGAGAGAGUCCGGCUACUAUACUUUUAUGAGUAUUGGCUCUCUUAUACUCAUAAGUUUUUAGCCUUUAGAUUUAUUCCAUUGAUCAUUUCCACCCGUUAGAUCAUACUAUUAAACCAACUACCCACUCAACCCUAUGGGACCACUAUCAUUCUAAGUGGGGACCACCUGUUGGCUUAAAUGGGCCAGCAUCCUGCCCUGUGGCGGGAGGCCAUGUGGGCCGAGUUAUGUUCGAAAUGGCGUGAGGCUGGGUUGGGCCGAGUCAUGUUCGAAGUGGCGUGAGGCCAGGUGGGCCGAGUCACAAUCGAGACACGUGGGCGCUGUUUCUGUACGCUUUAAGUGAAUUGGUUGCGUAUUUCUAACAGCUCGAGCUUUUGGGAUUAAUGGUUAGUGCCAACGAUCCGACAAGUGGUAUCAGAGCCAGAGGUCACGGGUUCGAUUCUUGCAUGCUGCAAAUGUGUGCAGGUACUGGAGGGGAGAUUGUUGGCUUAAAUGGGCCAGCAUCCUGCCCUGUGGCGGGAGGCCAUGUGGGCCGAGUUAUGUUCAAAAUAGCGUGAGGCUGGGUUGGGCCGAGUCAUGUUCGAAGUGGCGUGAGGCCAGGUGGGCCGAGUCACAAUCGAGACACGUGGGCGCUGUUUCUAUACGCUUUAAGUGAAUUGGUUGCGUAUUUCUAACAGCUCGAGCUUUUGGGAUUAAUGGUUAGCGCCAACGAUCCGACACCACCAUCAUCUUAAUCAUACAUCCCAUCAAUCAACGGUUAAAAAUUUAUGAGUAUAAGGAGGUCUAUACUCAUAAGAGUAUAGUAGCCCCAGCCUAUAUAUAUAUAUAUAUAUAUGGGGGAUAAUUGUCUAUAUACCCUUCAAAACUUCGAAAAUAUCUCAUUUACUCCUACUUUUUUUUUUAUUUCCAAUAUACCCCUCAUAUGUUCCUCCGUUAUUCCAAAAUACCAUUGUAGUUACCACUCGUUAAGUUAACUUGGAUUAAACGUGAGUUAAAUAUCUACUACAGUUAAAAAAAAUUAAAAUACCACUUUUGCCCUUAAUUUAAAGGCAAAUAAGAAAUGUUGGUGAUGAUAGAAGAGUAUAUUUAAAAAGACCAAAAAGCAAAAUACUUUUUGUGCCGCUAACUUAAGGGCAAAAACGAAAAGUCGGUGAUGGUAGAAGGAUAUAUAUGAAAGGGCAAAAUAGUAAUUUCAUAGAGAUAACAGAUUUCAUUAACAGAUUUUAACUCUAAGGUAUAUUAGAAAUAGGUAGGAAUGUAAAAAAGACAUUUUCAAUAGUAGCCUUCUAAGAGGGGUAAAUUAGAAAGUCGGAAACUUUUCAGGAGUAUAUAAGCAAUUACCUCUCUCUCUCUCUCCCUCUCUCUCUCUCUCUCUAUAUAUAUAUAGUCCCGCUACUAUACUAUCGAUAGUACCAAGCCCUUGGUACUAUUGAGUUUUCUACCGUUAGAUCUACCGUUUGAUCAUUUUCACUCGUUAGAUUAUACUAUUAAACCAACCACCCACUCAACCCUAGGGAACCACUAUCAUCCUAACCGCACAUCCUUUCAUCCAACGGCCGAAACCUCAAUAGUACCAAGGGCUUGAUACUAUUGAUAGUAUAAUAGCAUAAUUCUAUAUAUAUAUAUAUAUA
This 22839-nucleotide long non-coding RNA is filed under the name Ananas comosus (pineapple). RNAcentral's name for it is "long non-coding RNA (ACOM_LNC022112)". The record is from RNAcentral. Lineage: Eukaryota; Viridiplantae; Streptophyta; Magnoliopsida; Poales; Bromeliaceae.